This 253-nucleotide ribosomal RNA is filed under the name uncultured bacterium. RNAcentral describes it as "partial 16S ribosomal RNA". It matches the Rfam family "Bacterial small subunit ribosomal RNA", at positions 524 to 776 of the family's 1533-position model. The record is from RNAcentral.
UACAGAGGGUGCUAGCGUUGUUCGGAAUCAUUGGGCGUAAAGGGCGUGUAGGCGGCUUGUUAAGUCAUGUGUGAAAUCCCUCGGCUCAACCGGGGAACGACGCAUGAAACUGGCAAGCUAGAGUACCAAAGAGGGGGGUGGAAUUCCUGGUGUAGCGGUGAAAUGCGCAGAUAUCAGGAGGAACACCGGUGGCGAAGGCGGUUCUCUGGGCCUGUACUGACGCUGAGGAGCGAAAGCGUGGGGAGCAAACAGG